This 981-nucleotide long non-coding RNA is filed under the name Marmota monax (woodchuck). Lineage: Eukaryota; Metazoa; Chordata; Mammalia; Rodentia; Sciuridae. The record is from RNAcentral.
GUGAUAUCAAAUCCUGGUACACAAAUCCUGGUACAAACAGUAGCACAAUGGCUAUUCUUCCUUGAAGCCAAAGGCCCCAGAAGACCUUGUGAAUGAACAUUGUCCAUUUCCUUGUCAGGGCCAUAGUCACCUGAUGUAGGAGCUGACCAGGGGGAACCAAGGCCCACCCUGACAGAGAAUUAAGGGCUCAGUCAAGGCAUGACGGAGAAAGGAGAAUUUAGAAAUACCUUUUGAAAGGAAUAUGAUUGAUGAGAAGAGAUGCAACAGAGCUGCAGAGCAGCACCGCUUAUUAGGUAUGCUUUCUCUUCCAGAGAACUUAUUUCCUUUCCUUUACAUGUUUUGGUGUUUCUGCUGUUGAUGCUUCCUUGAAGCAAAGUGCACUGCUCUGAUGGCAGAGACCAAAAAGUGGUACCAUGACUGUGCACCUGCGGUGAGGGAAGGGAGUGUUGUUGCCAACCCUGCUUGCAGUCAUGGACAUGAAGAUGAUGAAGAGGCAGCCCCUUCCCCAAGGGAGGGCAGACAUAUAGGCAGAUAGAUUGCACGGGGUUUGAGAGGUUGGAAAGACCCAAUGGAUGCAAGACACAGAGAUGGCCAGGAUAAACUCGACUGACCCUGCAGUCGGAUCCGGUAGCUGGCCUUCCUCUCGUUCUCCACCUGCGGCCACAGGUAACUUAAAAUGGAAAGCUGUUUCUCUUGGUCCUGUGCCUCUUGUCCUGUGUUUAAAAACCUUCCACAGUUCCCUCUAUCUGUAGAGUAGAGGCGACAGUCUUGGCAUCAUAUGAUGGAGGUGGUAAUGAUGUGGUCCAUCUUCUUUCUCCAAAGGCAUCGCUCUACCCUUUCUUUCCCCAGCACAUGCAUAUGUACACAGUGUGGAAACUCCCGCUCAGCUGGACCACCCUGCUCAGUCUGCGAAGCCAGGUUCACCAACUAGACUUUGUACACACACCAGCUCUCAUUGUGUGGAAUCUUGCUCUCCAAAAU